This 270-nucleotide ribosomal RNA is filed under the name Bacillus amyloliquefaciens. RNAcentral describes it as "partial 16S ribosomal RNA". It matches the Rfam family "Bacterial small subunit ribosomal RNA", at positions 62 to 322 of the family's 1533-position model. The record is from RNAcentral. Lineage: Bacteria; Bacillati; Bacillota; Bacilli; Caryophanales; Bacillaceae.
UCGAGCGGACAGAUGGGAGCUUGCUCCCUGAUGUUAGCGGCGGACGGGUGAGUAACACGUGGGUAACCUGCCUGUAAGACUGGGAUAACUCCGGGAAACCGGGGCUAAUACCGGAUGGUUGUUUGAACCGCAUGGUUCAGACAUAAAAGGUGGCUUCGGCUACCACUUACAGAUGGACCCGCGGCGCAUUAGCUAGUUGGUGAGGUAACGGCUCACCAAGGCGACGAUGCGUAGCCGACCUGAGAGGGUGAUCGGCCACACUGGGACUGA